UUGGAUAGAUAGAUUGAUAGAUUAGCAGGGGGUGUGGCCAGUGGCUCUUACAGCUGUUGCCUUCUGUAGGUGGGUUAAGGGCCUGUAGGUGGGUUAAGGGUCUGUAGGUGCCUUCUGUAGGUGGGUUAAGGGUCUGUAGGUGGGUUAAGGGCCUGUAGGUGGGUUAAGGGCCUGUAGGUGGGUUAAGGGUCUGUAGGUGGGUUAAGGGUCUGUAGGUGGGUUAAGGGCCUGUAGGUGCCUUCUGUAGGUGGGUUAAGGGUCUGUAGGUGGGUUAAGGGCCUGUAGGUGGGUUAAGGGCCUGUAGGUGGGUUAAGGGCCUGUAGGUGGGUUAAGGGCCUGUAGGUGCCUUCUGUAGGUGGGUUAAGGGUCUGUAGGUGGGUUAAGGGUCUGUAGGUGCCUUCUGUAGGUGGGUUAAGGGUCUGUAGGUGGGUUAAGGGUCUGUAGGUGCCUUCUGUAGGUGGGUUAAGGGUCUGUAGGUGGGUUAAGGGCCUGUAGGUGGGUUAAGGGCCUGUAGGUGCCUUCUGUAGGUGGGUUAAGGGUCUGUAGGUGGGUUAAGGGUCUGUAGAUGGGUUAAGGGUCUGUAGGUGGGUUAAGGGCCUGUAGGUGCCUUCUGUAGGUGGGUUAAGGGUCUGUAGGUGGGUUAAGGGCCUGUAGGUGGGUUAAGGGCCUGUAGGUGGGUUAAGGGCCUGUAGGUGCCUUCUGUAGGUGGGUUAAGGGUCUGUAGGUGGGUUAAGGGUCUGUAGGUGGGUUAAGGGCCUGUAGGUGCCUUCUGUAGGUGGGUUAAGGGUCUGUAGGUGGGUUAAGGGCCUGUAGGUGGGUUAAGGGUCUGUAGAUGGGUUAAGGGUCUGUAGGUGGGUUAAGGGCCUGUAGGUGCCUUCUGUAGGUGGGUUAAGGGUCUGUAGGUGGGUUAAGGGCCUGUAGGUGCCUUCUGUAGGUGGGUUAAGGGUCUGUAGGUGGGUUAAGGGCCUGUAGGUGCCUUCUGUAGGUGGGUUAAGGGUCUGUAGGUGGGUUAAGGGCCUGUAGGUGGGUUAAGGGCCUGUAGGUGCCUUCUGUAGGUGGGUUAAGGGCCUGUAGGUGGGUUAAGGGUCUGUAGGUGCCUUCUGUAGGUGGGUUAAGGGCCUGUAGGUGCCUUCUGUAGGUGGGUUAAGGGUCUGUAGGUGGGUUAAGGGCCUGUAGGUGGGUUAAGGGCCUGUAGGUGGGUUAAGGGCCUGUAGGUGCCUCCUGUAGGUGGGUUAAGGGCCU
Molecule: non-coding RNA, 1242 nt
Organism: Salmo salar (Atlantic salmon)
Lineage: Eukaryota; Metazoa; Chordata; Actinopteri; Salmoniformes; Salmonidae
Source: RefSeq, a predicted model, not a curated record